This 253-nucleotide ribosomal RNA is filed under the name uncultured bacterium. RNAcentral describes it as "partial 16S ribosomal RNA". It matches the Rfam family "Bacterial small subunit ribosomal RNA", at positions 524 to 776 of the family's 1533-position model. The record is from RNAcentral.
UACGUAGGGUGCGAGCGUUAAUCGGAAUUACUGGGCGUAAAGCGUGCGCAGGCGGCUUACUAAGACAGGUGUGAAAGCCCCGAGCUUAACUUGGGAAUUGCGCUUGUGACUGGCGAGCUGGAGUGUGGCAGAGGGAGGUGGAAUUCCACGUGUAGCAGUGAAAUGCGUAGAGAUGUGGAGGAACACCGAUGGCGAAGGCAGCCUCCUGGGCCAGCACUGACGCUCAUGCACGAAAGCGUGGGGAGCAAACAGG